CCUACGGGUGGCAGCAGUGAGGAAUAUUGGUCAAUGGACGGAAGUCUGACCCAGCCAUGCCGCGUGCAGGAAGAAGGCUCUCUGAGUUGUAAGCUGCUUUCUUACAAGGGUAAACCUGAAUACGUGUAUUCAGCUGACUGUACUGUACGAAUAAGGGUCGGCGAACUCCGUGCCAGCAGCCGCGGUACUACGGAGGGUGCAAGCGUUAUCCGGAUUUAUUGGGCUUAAAGGGUGCGUAGGCGGAUAUAUAAGUUAGAGGUGAAAGGUGCGAGCUGAACCCGGGCACUUCCCUUGAUACUGUAUAACUUGAGGGUGGGAGCGGGAGGCGGAAUUGAUAGUGGAGCGGGGAAAUGCGUAGAGAUCAGACAGAACACCAAUGGCGAAGGCAGCUUACCAAUCUAUAUCUGACGUUGAGGCGCGAAAGCGUGGGGAGCAAACAGGAUUAGAUACCCCAGUAGUC
Molecule: ribosomal RNA, 460 nt
Filed under: uncultured bacterium
Lineage: Bacteria
Description: partial 16S ribosomal RNA
Rfam family: Bacterial small subunit ribosomal RNA
Source: RNAcentral